This is a long non-coding RNA of Sebastes umbrosus (honeycomb rockfish), 110 nucleotides long. RefSeq lists it as uncharacterized. The record is from RefSeq and is a predicted model, not a curated record. The transcript is spliced from 3 exons. Lineage: Eukaryota; Metazoa; Chordata; Actinopteri; Perciformes; Sebastidae.
GGCCUGACUAGACGGAUUUUCGUGUGAUCUUCUGAUUGGGGAAAUGUGGGGUACGGAAGACCGCUUGCCUGGUGUCGCUCGGGGGCCUGAGUCCUUCUGAUCGAGGCUCA